This 325-nucleotide ribosomal RNA is filed under the name uncultured eukaryote. RNAcentral describes it as "partial 18S ribosomal RNA". It matches the Rfam family "Eukaryotic small subunit ribosomal RNA", at positions 1470 to 1796 of the family's 1831-position model. The record is from RNAcentral.
CCCUUAGAUGUUCGGAGCUGCACGCGCGCUACACUGAAGGAAGCAGCGUGUUAGAUCACCUGGCUUGGAAGAGCUGGGUAAUCCGGUGAAUGUCCUUCGUGAUUGGGAUAGGCACUUGUAAUUAUUUGCCUUGAACGAGGAAUACCUAGUAAGUGCGAGUCAUCAGCUUGCGCUGACUACGUCCCUGCCCCUUGUACACACCGCCCGUCGCUCCUACCGAUUGGAUGAUCCGGUGAGCUAUUCGGACUUUCGCAUUGUCGAUUUUCGGCUUUACGAGGGAAAGUCUCGCGAACCUUAUCAUCUAGAGGAAGGAGAAGUCGUAACA